GAUGUAGAUGCAGGGAUGCGCGUGUCACAGGCGUAGUGACGUAUGACGUAACUGUGCGGACGCCCGUAUCACAGACGCAGUGACGUAUGACAUAACUGUAGGGACACUCGUAUCACAGAUACAGUGACGCCUGAGGUAGCUGUGCGGAUGCCCGUAUCACAGGCGCAGUGACAUAUGAGGUAGCUGUGAGGAUGCCCGUAUCACAGACGUAGUGAGAUUGCUGUGGGGAUGCCCGUAUCCCAGAUGUAGUGACGUAUGACACAGAUGUAGGGAAGCCCGUGUCACAGACAUAGUGACGUAUGACGUAGCUGUGGGGAUGCCCUAACACAGACGUAGUGCCUGUAAUGUAGCUGUGGUGACCCCGUAACACAGACGUAGUGAUAUAUGACGUAGGGACAUAUGACGUAGGUGUGGCGACACCUGCAACAGACGUAGCAAGGUAGUGACGUAGACAUCAGGACACCUGUGCCACCACAUGCGAGGAAUUCUAAGUGAACCAAGAUGAAGAAGGAAAGUCACACCUAACUGGCACAGGGCGUCGAUUGAACCAUAUCCACCUUCACCCAUGACCUUGAGGAUGAAAGGAGGCAUGUGGCUCACUACAUCUGCAGCAGAGCAACAAAUUGCAGUACCUCGAAAAGUACAGCCUCGAGUACGACAGCUGGCACACAGGCAUCGAGGGAACAGGCAAGAAGAGUUCCUGACUGGCGGAGGGAGAGGAGGUGGGAGAUGGCAAAGCUGAAGGAUCGUCAGCAAUAGGAGAUGGAGGGUAAGUUGCCAUUUCUCUCAUGUCGGAUGUGGAUGGCACAGGUUCUGAUUCUGUGCUGGAUUCAGUUCUAUCUGCUCUUUUGAAAAAAAUGAUCCAGUGAUGUCUGGGUAGAUCUUGGGCUUGAAAUAAAGGUACUCUGCUAUAUCCAGUACUGUACAGUAAAGCUCACAGAAGCGCAACCACUUGUAGCGGAUGCACAUGGGUGACAACAGGUGCCAGACACGGGAACUAACAACGCGACUGGACAUGUGAACACAUGUUUGCCAUCUUUGAAAGUUUACUACUUGAAGGUUUGUAUAUAGGGGACCUACUGUAUGGAAAAUUCACUGAUACUCAAGCUACUUACGGAGAAGGCAAUGACAACCCACUCCAGUACUCUUGCCUGAAAAAUCCCAUGGACGGAGGAGCCUG
Odocoileus virginianus texanus is the source of this 1180-nucleotide non-coding RNA. The record is from RefSeq and is a predicted model, not a curated record. NCBI's taxonomy places the organism in Eukaryota, Metazoa, Chordata, Mammalia, Artiodactyla, Cervidae.